GCAAUAUCGAGUCUUCGUUCUUGCAUUCUUGGUCUUCUUUCUUGCCCUCUUUUGACUCUUUUUUAUCUUGAUCUUGAAUAUUCCUUCUUUAAGCUCUCUUCUUAUGAGUUCUUCUCGUCAUCUUGAGUCUUCUUCAUUCAUACAGUUUUCGAGUCAAUUAAAUUUUUAGUACAUUUUAAAUUUUUUUACUAUCGUGACUAUCAUAAAUGUCACUUGUCCAGUCUUCUUUCUCCAUGCGAUUUUGGGUCUCGCUUCUUCAUGUGUUCUCGAGUCAUCAUUCUUUAAGUCCUUUGUAGUUUUCUUUCUUCAUGCCUUCUUGAAUAUUCUUUCUUCGUGCCCUCUUCAAUUUUCUUUCUUCGUGCCCUCUUCAAUCUUCUUUCAUCACGCCCUCUUCAGUUUUCUUACGCUGUCCGUUCUUUUUUACUAUAGUUUUGCUUAAGAUGUUAAUAAUAAUUGAAAUGCGCACUGUCCGAUGUUCCUUCUUCAUAUUAUUGUCUUCUACCUCCACGACGAAGGUUUUUCUUUUCGUUAUUUUCAUACUUCGCGAAUUAUUUUCCUUUAUAUGUCUUUAUUUUCCUUGCUUUUACGAGAACUUGAAAGCUUAAGUGACCUGUUUUUAAUUUCUUGUGUAUUGAACUCGUUAUGGAUCAUACAAAUUUGUUGCUAUAGUUCGAUUGCUUGCAAUUUUAUUUACAUAUAUUUUUUCAAUAUGUUUAAUCUUGCUCAUUUUGAUACCCUUAGCUUGAGAUCUGAAACAAGCUUUAUUAAGGAACUUACCAAUACCUCCGUGUGUCCGAAUUUUGCCAAUAACAUUAGUUAAUAUCAACGAUUUGUAGAGUCGAUAGACAACGUCGCUUAUUAUACCAAAGAUGUAGUGUAUCUUGUUUUCAUCAAUAGAUGUUUAUAUCUCUUUAAUCAAUUUAUGGUUUAGUAUUUCAAGUCUACCAGAAAUUCAUUCUAUGUCAAGAAUUCACUUGUGUCCUUGUUUUCAUGUCUGUUAAUAACGUCUGUAAAUAAACCCUCAUUAAUUCAUACUUACUUACUCUAACUUCGGAUGGCUAUAUUGCUUCUUUAAUUUUCAAAUUUGUAGUUAUUUUCUUUCGCUUAGUACUUAGUCUCACAUUAACAGCUGUUGGAAAUUCCUCGCUGGUCCGGUCACAAUGUCAACUUUGUUUAUAAUUCUUUAAAAUUUCAUACCGUUUGACAUUCCAUGGGAGUCUGAAAUCAUUGAGUAAGGCGAACCGGUGUUCCAUCUAAAAAUCAUGAAUUUUACAUACCUAAUCCACGUUUUAAGAACCAACCUCGCAUCUUCAUACUUGGCUAUGGAUAGACACUAUUUUUUUAUGGUGUAAUUUAAUUCAGUAUACCUUCAUUAUUUCCGAGUUCAGUUCCAAUGGUGUGGUAGUUUGAAGUAGUCUCUAGGAGAACAGUAAAGUUGUUCGACGUAUCUUGAAGCUAAUAAGCUUACAUACCAAACGUGUUCGAGUUGAUGACUAUGUUCUCUGUCUCAGUUUCCUCGUUCUGUCUUGUGCCAUUUAUGUUUCACUUUUUCUUCGAGUAGGUCUAAGAAUCGAUGUUAGAUCUUGAAUCAUCUUACGUACCCAACUUUUUCUAGCUUGUGUACCACGUACCUACUUAUUUUGGACCACGUUCUAAUCUCGUACUGUUCUGGUUAAACAAAAUUUUGAGAAUUCAUACCUUCAUAGUGUUUAAUUCACAUCCAAUAUUGCUCUAUAGGCCAAUCUGAAAUUAUCGAGUAAGUAUGUACUCCCAAUUAAGUCAUCUGAAAAAAAACUAACGUACUUACGUACCCAAUGUCUCGUACUUUCAUUGUCUUGGCUCAACCGAUAGGUAUUCUUUAUAUAAACCUGUAUUGGAAAUAUGUUUCAUCUAGGCUCGAGUCGGUUACGUACCAAGUGUAAAUGUGUUGAUAUUAUGUAUUCAAGUAGUAAUUGCGAUUUUCCCAUCUCAAUUGCUUCAGAUUCUUUUUUCCUUCUUCAGUCAUACUUUUAAAGCUCGUUUGAAUUUUCAUCUAAAAAUCUUGAAUUAGCUUACGUACCACAUUCCUAUGCUGCAUUUAAAUUCAUACCUUCGCAUUUGUUAUUCAUCAAUUAAUUUCUGGAAAAAGCAUUUCCAACUCCGAAUGGCAAGUUUCAUUUCCGAUCCAAUAAAAAAAAAUCGAAUUUGCUUACCCCCUGUAUCCGUUUGCAUCUAUCAUUCUAAUACGGCUAAGUGCACCACUCAAGUUAUCGUCGAAGGUAGUUUUAUUCCAUGCCGUUAAUG
Molecule: long non-coding RNA, 2283 nt
Organism: Cydia fagiglandana
Lineage: Eukaryota; Metazoa; Arthropoda; Insecta; Lepidoptera; Tortricidae
Exons: 2
Source: RefSeq, a predicted model, not a curated record